RNAcentral lists this non-coding RNA (21 nucleotides) under Arabidopsis thaliana (thale cress). Lineage: Eukaryota; Viridiplantae; Streptophyta; Magnoliopsida; Brassicales; Brassicaceae. The record is from RNAcentral.
UUUACAAAGCCUACUCUCUAG